RNAcentral lists this long non-coding RNA (1389 nucleotides) under Rhagoletis pomonella (apple maggot). RNAcentral's name for it is "uncharacterized LOC118756755, transcript variant X2". The record is from RNAcentral. Lineage: Eukaryota; Metazoa; Arthropoda; Insecta; Diptera; Tephritidae.
UAAGUCGUAACCACAGUAUACCAGUAGAAAAGGUUUUUGUUUUUGUAGCUGUUUCGUGGUGAAAGUCCUUUAUGGGGGCCAAAUUUCCGUACAAGAAAUUGAGCGCAUGGUUGCUUUUGCAUUCCAAAAGAACGAAUAUUAGAAAACAUUGAAAAAAAGUCUGAUAUAAUACAAUUAUAUUCUACUAGAAAUAAACUCGAUAGUGUGCGCUAAUUAGAUAAUGUGAUAAUCAUGUUUAAAAACUCUUUUCAAGUCUUAUUUUUCAGAAAAUAAAAUUGUGGAUCAGAUUGCUCUGAGCGCUUGUGUUGUUUACCAAGAAAAUGCACCCCUGUUGGUUUUUAUUUCUGUAUCGCAUCGCGACUAUUAGUUACAAGCACAGCAUCAUCAACGGUGAUUGCAAGAACUACUGCAAUCCCUGCGGUUUUUCCUCUUGGUGAAUGCGUUCUGGUCGUGACCAAGGGUGGUCUCCCAAUCGGCCGGGAAUAAGGCUAUUGUUGCAGAACAAAACGCCACAAACACUGGUGUGGUAAAUAAGUUCCAGCAGUACUGCCCACCGCCGUCGUUGUAAUGAUUUCGAUAGCUGAACAAACGCCAUCUCCUGGGCAUUCCCACAUGCCGACAAUAGCUGUUAUAUCACGUGUGAAUGCAACUGCGGCUAAAUUUGGUUAUUAACAGUGCAAUAGCGCCAUGUCAUUGGCAAAAACACUAAGGGCUGCUGGCAUAUAGAGGUUGUAAAGUUUUUGGAAUCGAUGAACUUACUCGAAGAAGACGAUGGUCGAAAACAUAUGAUGAAACGUCUUCUGGCAUGCCUUUGACAAUCGUUAAGUCAGACGGAGGCUUCACAUGCGAUAUUUCACACAUGCCUGGAAUUCGUUAGCGGACAGAGCACACAUUUACAAAAUAUUUAUCGUUCUGCAGAACGUGCAUGCAUAUAUGCAUAUUCGAUUCCGACUGAAACCUGGUAACUGAGUUGCUAUAUUGGCACGAACUAAGCAAGGCUGUCAUAGGAUCCAUCGUAGUCCGAUUUUUCGUGAAAUCUACGAAAAUGCUAUUAAAUUCGAGUAGCUACAAACGCAGUGGUUGCUUUGAAUAAACACGUUCAUAGCAGUUCAGAUUCAGUGAUCGCUUUUUUGUAGAUUUUAUGAAAGAUCGGACUACGAUGGAUUCCGCCACCAAUAUGUUUUCUCCUUUGACAAGAUGUUGGAGAAUCGCGGCAGCACAGCCCUAUACCUACUCUAUGCUCUUACGCGCAUAUGCUAAAUUUCUCGCACCUAGCAUAAGUGCUUGACAAAGGCAGAAGGCAUAUCUUCAACAUUAUAACUUAAAGUAAGAGUUUAAGGUAUGCAAUAAAAGAAUACAACAGAACCAAAAAAUCUCAAAACUAUUAAA